This 354-nucleotide ribosomal RNA is filed under the name Cantharocnemis kraatzi. RNAcentral describes it as "SSU rRNA". It matches the Rfam family "Eukaryotic small subunit ribosomal RNA", at positions 1172 to 1489 of the family's 1831-position model. The record is from RNAcentral. Lineage: Eukaryota; Metazoa; Arthropoda; Insecta; Coleoptera; Cerambycidae. RNAcentral also lists the same sequence under 2 other names.
AGGAGUGGAGCCUGCGGCUUAAUUUGACUCAACACGGGAAACCUCACCAGGCCCGGACACCGGAAGGAUUGACAGAUUGAGAGCUCUUUCUUGAUUCGGUGGGUGGUGGUGCAUGGCCGUUCUUAGUUGGUGGAGCGAUUUGUCUGGUUAAUUCCGAUAACGAACGAGACUCUAGCCUGCUAACUAGGCGUAUUUCGACAUCCCAAAGGCCCGCCGGUUUGGGGUUUCGAUUCCUUUCCGCGCGCGGUUUUUACUGUCGGCGUACAAACAAUUCUUCUUAGAGGGACAGGCGGCUUCUAGCCGCACGAGAUUGAGCAAUAACAGGUCUGUGAUGCCCUUAGAUGUUCUGGGCCG